This 22-nucleotide ribosomal RNA is filed under the name Mycobacterium malmoense. Its description in RNAcentral is "partial 23S rRNA". Lineage: Bacteria; Bacillati; Actinomycetota; Actinomycetes; Mycobacteriales; Mycobacteriaceae. The record is from RNAcentral.
UAGUAAGUGCUUAAGGGCGCAU